GUCCUCGUAGCUCAGUUGGAUAGAGCGAUCGCCUCCUAAGCGGUAGGUCACCAGUUCGAUUCUGGUCGAGGACACCA
Molecule: transfer RNA, 77 nt
Filed under: Actinobacteria bacterium BACL4 MAG-120507-bin0
Lineage: Bacteria; Bacillati; Actinomycetota; Actinomycetes
Also listed under: 4 other names
Description: tRNA-Arg
Rfam family: tRNA
About the family: Transfer RNA (tRNA) molecules are approximately 80 nucleotides in length. Their secondary structure includes four short double-helical elements and three loops (D, anti-codon, and T loops). Further hydrogen bonds mediate the characteristic L-shaped molecular structure. tRNAs have two regions of fundamental functional importance: the anti-codon, which is responsible for specific mRNA codon recognition, and the 3' end, to which the tRNAs corresponding amino acid is attached (by aminoacyl-tRNA synthetases). tRNAs cope with the degeneracy of the genetic code in two manners: having more than one tRNA (with a specific anti-codon) for a particular amino acid; and 'wobble' base-pairing, i.e. permitting non-standard base-pairing at the 3rd anti-codon position.
Source: RNAcentral